GGUUCUGGUGGAGAUUUAUGGGCAUCCAAGUGGAUUUUAAAGAAGGGAUCAUGUUGGCGGCCCUGGGCCUAUAAAAAUUACUUGAUGGCCGAUUCUGAAAGAUGGCGGAUCGAAGCAGAAUGAAAUGAUCGUAUUAGGGUGGUUCCGGAUUUUAAG
Molecule: long non-coding RNA, 156 nt
Organism: Calliphora vicina (urban bluebottle blowfly)
Lineage: Eukaryota; Metazoa; Arthropoda; Insecta; Diptera; Calliphoridae
Exons: 3
Source: RefSeq, a predicted model, not a curated record